This 849-nucleotide ribosomal RNA is filed under the name uncultured bacterium. RNAcentral's name for it is "bacterial SSU rRNA". It matches the Rfam family "Bacterial small subunit ribosomal RNA", at positions 8 to 855 of the family's 1533-position model. The record is from RNAcentral.
AGAGUUUGAUCCUGGCUCAGGAUGAACGCUAGCGGCAGGCUUAAUACAUGCAAGUCGAGGGGCAGCACAGAUAGCAAUAUUGGGUGGCGACCGGCAAACGGGUGCGGAACACGUACACAACCUUCCUUUCGGUGGGGGAUAGCCUUUGGAAACGGAGAUUAAUACCCCAUAAAACAGGGACACUGCAUGGUGAUAUUGUUAAAGAUUUAUCGCCGGAAGAUGGGUGUGCGUAUGAUUAGGUAGUUGGUAGGGUAACGGCCUACCAAGCCGACGAUCAUUAACUGGUGUGAGAGCACGACCAGUCACACGGGCACUGAGACACGGGCCCGACUCCUACGGGAGGCAGCAGUAAGGAAUAUUGGUCAAUGGACGGAAGUCUGAACCAGCCAUGCCGCGUGGAGGAUGAAGGUCCUCUGGAUUGUAAACUUCUUUUAUAGGGGGCGAAAAAGGGUCUUUUUAGAUCAACUGACGGUACCCUAUGAAUAAGCACCGGCUAACUCCGUGCCAGCAGCCGCGGUAAUACGGAGGGUGCAAGCGUUAUCCGGAUUCACUGGGUUUAAAGGGAGCGUAGGCGGAUUGUUAAGUCCGUGGUGAAAGCCCUCAGCUCAACUGAGGAACUGCCAUGGAUACUAUCAAUCUUGAAUGUCGUUGAGGUUUGCGGAAUGGGUCAUGUAGCGGUGAAAUGCAUAGAUAUGACCCGGAACACCAAUUGCGAAGGCAGCACGCUAAACGAAAAUUGACGCUGAGGCUCGAAAGCGUGGGGAUCAAACAGGAUUAGAUACCCUGUAGUCCACGCCCUAAACGAUGAUUACUCGACAUACGUGAUAUGACAAUGUGUGUCUGAGCGAA